Molecule: transfer RNA, 94 nt
Filed under: Bos taurus (domestic cattle)
Lineage: Eukaryota; Metazoa; Chordata; Mammalia; Artiodactyla; Bovidae
Also listed under: 1 other name
Rfam family: tRNA
About the family: Transfer RNA (tRNA) molecules are approximately 80 nucleotides in length. Their secondary structure includes four short double-helical elements and three loops (D, anti-codon, and T loops). Further hydrogen bonds mediate the characteristic L-shaped molecular structure. tRNAs have two regions of fundamental functional importance: the anti-codon, which is responsible for specific mRNA codon recognition, and the 3' end, to which the tRNAs corresponding amino acid is attached (by aminoacyl-tRNA synthetases). tRNAs cope with the degeneracy of the genetic code in two manners: having more than one tRNA (with a specific anti-codon) for a particular amino acid; and 'wobble' base-pairing, i.e. permitting non-standard base-pairing at the 3rd anti-codon position.
Source: Rfam by way of RNAcentral
CCUUCGAUAGCUCAGUUGGUAGAGCGGAGGACUGUAGUUGAUACUCUAGCCGAGAGACAUCCUUAGGUCGCUGGUUCGACUCCGGCUCGAAGGA